CGGUGCCGGAAGUGCAGGCGGAGCGAGAGGGAGCGGCAGCAGGGAGAAAUAAAACCGCUCCCGGAUCCCUGCACACACUCCUUUAUCUGCCCAAAAAUACUGCGCAGCAGCCUUAAUCUGUAGAAAUAUCUGGAGCAAUAUUUGGAGAAACAUCUGGAGAAUCAUCAUCUGGAGAAAUCUGGUCCGUCACUCUUUCCAUCAGCCGGACUGCAGCUUUCACUCCAACGCGUCUGUGUGUCUCAGGAAAUGCAGUUUUGCUGGCAGGUGCUGAUGGGUCUGAUCUCUUGCUGUUUGUGGCAAAUGGUGUCAGUGGAAUGCCAUCUGCUAUCCUCAG
Molecule: long non-coding RNA, 334 nt
Organism: Ictalurus punctatus (channel catfish)
Lineage: Eukaryota; Metazoa; Chordata; Actinopteri; Siluriformes; Ictaluridae
Exons: 2
Source: RefSeq, a predicted model, not a curated record